AGCUGUAAACCUAGCCCUCAAAAAACAAUAACCCUCAAAUCCCAACUAAAUCAUUUACACUCUUUAGUAUAGGUGAUAAAAAAAGAAAUAAGCGCAACAGACAGAGUACCGUAAGGGAAAGAUGAAAUAGCUAUGAAAUAAACACCAAAGCACUAAAAAGCAGAGAUACAUCCUCGUACCUUUUGCAUCAUGGUCUAGCAAGAAACCUUAAGCAAAACGCAUUAAAGUUUAACCCCCCGAAACUAGACGAGCUACUCCGAGGCAGCUAUAAGAGCAAACCCAUCUCUGUGGCAAAAGAGUGGGAAGACCCCCGA
RNAcentral lists this ribosomal RNA (314 nucleotides) under Alytes obstetricans pertinax. RNAcentral's name for it is "partial 16S ribosomal RNA". Lineage: Eukaryota; Metazoa; Chordata; Amphibia; Anura; Alytidae. The record is from RNAcentral.